CCUAUAGGCUGACCACCUGUAGAACAUGCCAUCGAGUAAAAACCAUCCCAGUAGGGUUAUUGGUACGCCCGCCAUUAAAGAGAUUGAAAGCAAGUGAAAUUGACCGUGCAUGUUAGGUAUGUGUGAUUGUGAGUAGCGGUAGAUCAGUUGCCGAGCUGGUC
Molecule: non-coding RNA, 161 nt
Filed under: Acinetobacter baumannii AB405E4
Lineage: Bacteria; Pseudomonadati; Pseudomonadota; Gammaproteobacteria; Moraxellales; Moraxellaceae
Description: Pseudomonadales-1 RNA
Rfam family: Pseudomonadales-1 RNA
Source: Rfam by way of RNAcentral